AAACUCAAAGGAAUUGACGGGGGCCCGCACAAGCGGUGGAGCAUGUGGUUUAAUUCGAAGCAACGCGAAGAACCUUACCAGGUCUUGACAUCCUCUGACAACCCUAGAGAUAGGGCUUCUCCUUCGGGAGCAGAGUGACAGGUGGUGCAUGGUUGUCGUCAGCUCGUGUCGUGAGAUGUUGGGUUAAGUCCCGCAACGAGCGCAACCCUUGAUCUUAGUUGCCAUCAUUAAGUUGGGCACUCUAAGGUGACUGCCGGUGACAAACCGGAGGAAGGUGGGGAUGACGUCAAAUCAUCAUGCCCCUUAUGACCUGGGCUACACACGUGCUACAAUGGACGGUACAAAGAGCUGCAAGACCGCGAGGUGGAGCUAAUCUCAUAAAACCGUUCUCAGUUCGGAUUGUAGGCUGCAACUCGCCUACAUGAAGCUGGAAUCGCUAGUAAUCGCCGAAUCAGCAUGCCGCGGUGAAUACGUCCCCGGGACCUGGUACACACCGCCCCGU
This 502-nucleotide ribosomal RNA is filed under the name Bacillus sp. CMBL-Pb13. Its description in RNAcentral is "bacterial SSU rRNA". It matches the Rfam family "Bacterial small subunit ribosomal RNA", at positions 897 to 1397 of the family's 1533-position model. Lineage: Bacteria; Bacillati; Bacillota; Bacilli; Caryophanales; Bacillaceae. The record is from RNAcentral.